AUGUCAAAUACAGAUAGAUGGACAAGACUGAGAGAAGAGAGACAGAGACAGAGAAGAGAAAAAGAAAAGAAAGGGAGAGAGAUACAGAGAGAGAGAGAGAGACAUAGACAAAGAGAGAGACACAGAAAGAGAGAGAGAGAUGAGCGGGAAAGACAGACAGAGACAGAGACAGAGACAGAAGAUGAGAGAGGGAAAGACAGAGAGAGACAGAGACAGAGAAGAGAGGGAGAGGAGAGAAUGGAUCCAUAUCUUCAAAAUGAUCUAUCCUACAAUACCAAAUGUGUUACAAAGAAAGAUAGCUCUCCAUUAAAGUCAUAAAGUUUAAUUCCUUCCUGAUGAGAAUUCCAAAACAGGGCAGGGCUUUCACAUACACAUUAACCAAGGUGCUGAAAUUUAAAGGAGAAUCUAGAAUUGAGCAAAUAAGAAAUUAAGAAUGACUCAAUAAUGUUGAGUUGAUUGGUCUAUUGGAUUUUAAAGUCACACCUAGAUAAGCAUUAUAUAUUUUUUAAAAAGAAAUAUAAAGACCUAGAUUAUUUUAAAGAAUUAAAAAAAGAAUGGGUUGGGUCAACCAGGAAGAAAUGAAAUAGCAUUUCUUGAAAUCAGGUACUGCCGGGGAAGGCUAAUUGAACAAGGAGGUAGAAGAUGAGAGUGAAUAAUUCCUAAUCCACAUUUUUAUCUAGGAAAGAGUUUUAAAAAGGGGGAGGGAUUUAUCAGUAAAAGUAGAAUCUUCCAAUCUGAUUUGUGGACCAGAGGGGUGUGUGUAAUUAAGACCAGAUUUGUCAAAGGGAGAUAAGCUUUAUCUGUAUUUGUUGUUGCAGGAGUUGGUUUUGGUUGUGUGUUUAUGUUGAGAGUUUGGGGUCAAUGGAUAGAGUAAUGGACCUGGUUGGAGUCAAGAAGAUGGGAUUUCAAUCCUGCCUCAAACACCUUUAAGAUAUGUAAUGUUGGGGAAAAAAAAUCACUUAACUUCUGUAGGCUUUGUUGAAGUGAGAAGUCUCAUCUUGAUGAGUUCAAAUCUGGCUUCGCACACUUACUACCUGUGUAACCCUGUUUGCCUCAGUUUCCUUAUCUAUAAAAUGAGCAAGAGAAGAAAAUGGCAAACCACUGUAGUAUGUUUGCCAAGAAAACCCCAAAUGGGGUCACAAAGAGUAG
Molecule: long non-coding RNA, 1149 nt
Filed under: Monodelphis domestica (gray short-tailed opossum)
Lineage: Eukaryota; Metazoa; Chordata; Mammalia; Didelphimorphia; Didelphidae
Description: lncRNA (ENSMODG00000048768.1)
Source: RNAcentral